ACUCAGCAGCCGCGGUAAUACGGAGGGGGCGAGCGUUGUUCGGAAUUACUGGGCGUAAAGCGUACGUAGGCGGCGUGGUAAGUCGGAGGUUAAAGGCUACGGCUCAACCGUAGUAGGGCCUUUGAUACUAUCAUGCUAGAGUGUCGGAGGGGGUAACGGAAUUCCCUGUGUAGCGGUGAAAUGCGUAGAUAUAGGGAGGAACACCAGUAGCGAAGGCGGUUACCUGGCCGAUCACUGACGCUGAGGUACAGAGAGCGUGGGUAGCAAACAGGAUUAGAUACCCUGGUAGUCCACGCUGUAAACGAUGGACGCUAGGUGUUGGAGGAACCGACCCCUUCAGUGCCG
RNAcentral lists this ribosomal RNA (345 nucleotides) under uncultured bacterium. RNAcentral describes it as "bacterial SSU rRNA". It matches the Rfam family "Bacterial small subunit ribosomal RNA", at positions 506 to 848 of the family's 1533-position model. The record is from RNAcentral.